GUUGAACGCUGGCGGCGUGCCUAAUACAUGCAAGUCGAGCGAACGGACGAGACGCUCGCUUCUCUGAUGUUAGCGGCGGACGGGUGAGUAAUACGUGGAUAACCUAUCUAUAAGAAUGGGAUAACUUCGGGAAACCGAAGCUAACAUCGGAUAAUAUUUUGAACGGCAUGGUUCAACAGAGAAAGACGGUUUUGCUGUCACUAAUAGAUGGAACCGCGCUGCAUUAGCUAGUUGGUAGGGUAACGGCUUACCAAGGCAACGAUGCGUAGCCGACCUGAGAGGGUGAUCCGCCACACUGGAACUGAGACACGGUCCAGACUCCUACGGGAGGCAGCAGUAGGGAAUCUUCCACAAUGGGCGAAAGCCUGACGGAGCAACGCCGCGUGAGUGAUGAAGGUCUUCGGAUCGUAAAGCUCUUUUAUUUGGGAAGAACAUAUGUGUAAGUAACUGUGCACAUCUUGACGUUACCUAAUCAGAAAGCCACGGCUAACUACGUG
This 497-nucleotide ribosomal RNA is filed under the name uncultured bacterium. RNAcentral's name for it is "partial 16S ribosomal RNA". It matches the Rfam family "Bacterial small subunit ribosomal RNA", at positions 28 to 507 of the family's 1533-position model. The record is from RNAcentral.